RNAcentral lists this ribosomal RNA (497 nucleotides) under uncultured bacterium. RNAcentral's name for it is "partial 16S ribosomal RNA". It matches the Rfam family "Bacterial small subunit ribosomal RNA", at positions 28 to 507 of the family's 1533-position model. The record is from RNAcentral.
GACGAACGCUGGCGGCGUGCCUAAUACAUGCAAGUUGAGCGCUGAAGGUUGGUACUUGUACCAACUGGAUGAGCAGCGAACGGGUGAGUAACGCGUGGGGAAUCUGCCUUUGAGCGGGGGACAACAUUUGGAAACGAAUGCUAAUACCGCAUAAAAACUUUAAACACAAGUUUUAAGUUUGAAAGAUGCAAUUGCAUCACUCAAAGAUGAUCCCGCGUUGUAUUAGCUAGUUGGUGAGGUAAAGGCUCACCAAGGCGAUGAUACAUAGCCGACCUGAGAGGGUGAUCGGCCACAUUGGGACUGAGACACGGCCCAAACGCCUACGGGAGGCAGCAGUAGGGAAUCUUCGGCAAUGGACGAAAGUCUGACCGAGCAACGCCGCGUGAGUGAAGAAGGUUUUCGGAUCGUAAAACUCUGUUGGUAGAGAAGAACGUGGGUGAGAGUGGAAAGCUCAUCAAGUGACGGUAACUACCCAGAAAGGGACGGCUAACUACGUG